AUUGAACGCUAGCGGGAUGCUUUACACAUGCAAGUCGAACGGAGUGGCGGACGGGUGAGUAAUAUAUCGGAACGUGCCCAGUAGCGGGGGAUAACUACUCGAAAGAGUGGCUAAUACCGCAUACUAUUGAAGCGGCCGAUAUCGGAUGUGCUAGUUGGAGGGGUAACGGCUCACCAGGGCAACGAUCCGUCUCUGGUUUGAGAGGAGGACCAGCCACACUGGAACGGAGACACGGCCCAGACUCCUAGGGGAGGCAGCAGUGGGGAAUGUUGGACAAUGGGGGAAACCCUAAUCCAGCCAUCCCGCGUGUAUGAGGAAGGCCUUCGGGUUGUAAGGUACUUUUGGCAGAGAAGCGGUAUCUGCAGAAUAAGCACCGGCUAACUACGUGCCAGCAGCAGCGGUAAUUC
This 407-nucleotide ribosomal RNA is filed under the name uncultured bacterium. Its description in RNAcentral is "partial 16S ribosomal RNA". It matches the Rfam family "Bacterial small subunit ribosomal RNA", at positions 30 to 526 of the family's 1533-position model. The record is from RNAcentral.